GGACCUCAGAUCAGGCAAGACCACCCGCUGAGUUUAAGCAUAUCACUAAGCGGAGGAAAAGAAACUAACAAGGAUUUCCUUAGUAACGGCGAGCGAAC
RNAcentral lists this ribosomal RNA (98 nucleotides) under Diplasiolejeunea jovet-astiae. RNAcentral describes it as "partial 26S ribosomal RNA". It matches the Rfam family "Eukaryotic large subunit ribosomal RNA", at positions 1 to 98 of the family's 3401-position model. The record is from RNAcentral. Lineage: Eukaryota; Viridiplantae; Streptophyta; Jungermanniopsida; Porellales; Lejeuneaceae.